Molecule: long non-coding RNA, 250 nt
Organism: Haliotis rubra (blacklip abalone)
Lineage: Eukaryota; Metazoa; Mollusca; Gastropoda; Lepetellida; Haliotidae
Exons: 3
Source: RefSeq, a predicted model, not a curated record
CAGGGAUAAGGCAGAGCGGGACACCAGGUUCUAUCACAUUCUGGUCCAGAUGCUGAGUGAAGUCAAAGAAGUGAAGUCCGGCAAGCAGCAGGAGAGUCUGAAGAAGGUGUACACAUGGUACCUGGCCAACAAACAUGUGCUGUACUCCGGUCCGCACUUUGGUCGGAUCUAUCAGCGCGAGGCAGCACAGGAGGUGCUGAAGAAAGCCACGUCCCCUCGCAGACCAUCCCCCCCCUAGUCGGGACAGCCA